This 497-nucleotide ribosomal RNA is filed under the name uncultured bacterium. Its description in RNAcentral is "partial 16S ribosomal RNA". It matches the Rfam family "Bacterial small subunit ribosomal RNA", at positions 28 to 507 of the family's 1533-position model. The record is from RNAcentral.
GAUGAACGCUGGCGGCGUGCCUAAUACAUGCAAGUCGAACGAACGUACUUGAUCCUCGCUUCCUUGCUGUUACCGACGAAGGGUUGAGUAACACGUGGAUAACUAACCUGUAAGCAUGGUAUAACUUCGGGAAAGCGUACACAUUACCACAGAUGAUUUUACACCAUAACGAUAAUUACUGCAAGGCGGUUAUGUAGUCACUUGCUAUUGUAUCCGCGAUGCAUUAGCUAGUUGGUAAGGUAAAGGCUUACCAAGGCAACGAUGCCUAGCCGACUUGAGAGGGUGAUCGGCCACACUGGAACUGAGACACGGUCCAGACUCCUACGGGAGGCAGCAGUAGGGAAUCUUCCGCAAUGGGCGAAAGCCUGAUGGAGCAACGCCGCGUGAGUGAAGAAGGUCUUCGGAUCGUAAAACUCUGUUAUUAGGGAAGAACAUAUGUGUAAGUAACUGUGCACAUCUUGACGGUACCUAAUCAGAAAGCCACGGCUAACUACGUG